RNAcentral lists this long non-coding RNA (2762 nucleotides) under Carassius auratus (goldfish). Its description in RNAcentral is "lncRNA (ENSCARG00000025639.1)". The record is from RNAcentral. Lineage: Eukaryota; Metazoa; Chordata; Actinopteri; Cypriniformes; Cyprinidae.
GAAGGCCUGUCAUGAGAUUUGAAUUUGACCAUCUUGUGCAUUUAUGAAGAAGACCAAAAGCUGCAAAGGCAAACACUUCCAAUGGAUUUCUCACAGAUUACUUAAUCAUUCUUCAUCAGCUCUUCACAAUAUCAGCCCAUUCAAAAGCUUCCAGAUCUUCCUCUCUUGUGUGACACAUCUGCUCUCAGUCCUUUACUGCCAACCUCUACAUUCAUCACUCCAAUCUCUACUAUAAGCACUCCUGUAUAUAUAUAUAUAUAUAUAUACACAUAAUAAUAAUUAUUAUUAUUAACCAUUUAUUUGUUUUGCAUUUAUUCACAAUAGAAGCAAACAAUGAUUACAGGAUAUAUGUUUUUAAAGGUGAUAAUUGUAAAAUAUUGGAGCAUUGUUCUUAAUCAUUUUUGCCUAUUUGGUUGAUAAAGGGAAGAAAACAAUAUAUUUUCAACUGUAGCCUUGAUUAUUCUUUGGCAUCUUUUGUCAGGAUUUCUGUAAACAAAUUCCCUUUUUAUUUUUGAAUAUUAAACUUAUGUUUUUUGAAGGGAGUUUCUGUUGCAAUUGUGUUUGUUUGUUUUCACUUAGUUACCUCUAUGCAUUUUUUUUUAUCAACUUUUCUUUUUUUCAUAGUGGAAUAAACUGGAGAGAGACUGUUCUGGGCACUAUGUUUAUCUGCGAAAAGUUUGACAUAUCAAUAAACACUGUAAAAUGACUAGACAAUGAGUGAUUGAUGUCAUGAUGUUUGUUUGUUUGUUUUCUAUUCCUAUAGUUCAACUGGUGGAUCUAAGAAUGGCAAGUUUUUAGGGUCCAUUUCCAUGAAACGUAGAUGUGAUAAAUUGUUUACCUUUAAUACACUAUAAAUACAUUGUAAAUAUUACAGAAGGAAAAUUGAGUAGUAGAAAAAUAUUGUGUUUAAAUAAUCUUCAGAGGUGUUUUUUUUUUGAGCAAAUGAAACAUUUUGACAUUUAUUUUUCACACAGUAUAUGCAAACUUUUGAGUUUAAGUACUGUACACUAAUAUUAGUGUAAACAAUGUAGCCUAUUCAAUACAAUGGGAAUCAUUAUACCUUCGUUAAAACACAAAACAAAAAAAACACCUUUAAUCAACGUAUUUCUUGCUGCAUCAGGGUAACUGCAGCUUCUGUCCAUUCACUACAGGAACCCGGAAGCUCCCGGCAUAAUUGACCAUAUAUGUACAAGUUAGUGUGACGCCUCUGCUCAACUGGGUUGCCAUUGGCUUUGACGUUCCCUUGGCUCUCGCAGAACUCGCUGUGAUUGGACUAUCUUUUAACCCAAAUUAUAAACCGCUUAAUGUUGCAAAGUCCGUUUGACUGUAAUUAUUACGUCAGUAACACCUUCAGUUAACAAUGCAGUGUUGCUAUGUCGUGAGAAAUUACCUCUUUACCGAAAUCGUAACCCUAACCCUAAGCACAAGUCCAAUAAACUCCAAAUACCAGCGCUAAUAUUACUCGCGUUCAAACGAUAGAAUGGCAGAGGCUUAUGGGUAAUGUAGUUUAAAAUGUUUAAUAAUUUAAAAAAUGGGAAAAUGCAAUCUUUUUUAACAAAGGGUCAUCUAAACAUGUUCAUUGUGUAAACAUUAAUGACAUAUUUAAGAGGCAGGCUGAAAUUCGAUAUUUUACUAAGUGCACUUUUUUAAACACUUUUAUACCACCUUUCCAUAUAUGUUUGAAAACUCUGUCCAACAUUAUUUAAUUAGCAUAGCAUAAGUAGUUGUCCUGCCAAUUUUUUCUUUGACACUAUAAUCAGACUUUGAUUUACAGCCAUUUGAAAUUUACAUUUUUUUGCUCUUCUAAGGGACUCUACUGGGCCCUUGAAGAUGGAAGGGCAGUAAAACAUACACAUACCUUUUCUUAUCAUGGACAACAGACUGUGCUGAGUCAUAAUUUUUAAGUUUUUCUUUUCAACAAAUUGCCAAUAUGUAAGUUGUAAGUCAUGUUUAUCUUAGAAUAAGAAUAGAACCAUAAAAAUAUACAUCAGUGCCUAUUUGGAAUAGGCUCCAAAUAUUGAAUUAUAUCAGGUGCAAGGAUACAGUAUUGAAAGUAAACAAAGACACCAAUUUAAACAACCAAUACAUACUGUGACACUUCAUUGUACUUUUACAGUGUCAAUGUGUCAUUCAGUAAGACAAGGUACAGAGAGUGUGUAGUUUAUAGUGCAAAGCCAUACAAUUCAUGCAAUGCAAAGAAUCAUAAUAUUAAGAGCUAAUUUGUGUCUCUGUGUAAAAUACUCCUCAUAUCUGUCCUCCUCGGGUACUAAACAUCAGUAAUGUGCAUGCUCAUCUUGCUUAUUAUACAGUACUGGAUUCAUGUUGAUCUUUCCCUUGUCCAUCACCUUCAGUUGUGCAUGAAAUUCCUGCAGCAUUAUAGUCCAUGCAGUAUCUUCUAAUGCAGCUUUCAGCCUGCCCUUCAUCUAACUGAAUGUCAUUAAUGUAACCAAAUGUUCAUUUCUUAAUUAAAACACAUUUAUCUAUUGUUUACAAAAUUAAAUGGUGUAUUUACCAAACACCAUUCUUAAUAUAGAAUAUUCACCCUACUUUAUUAUCCAACACCAUGUGCAGUACUUUACUGGAGGAUACAACAUAAAGACAACUAAAGUAGUGUAUUAAGACAAAUGAUAUACAAUUUUUAACAAUAUUAAAAAUGGGUUAUGUUAACACCAUGUUUUUCUAAUCAGAUGAAGCCAUGCAAAUGCAUGCAUGGUGAAAUGUCUUGAGCCCCAAAGAAUCACAUCAAGUUUUUAGAGCUCUCC